Molecule: non-coding RNA, 807 nt
Filed under: Pongo abelii (Sumatran orangutan)
Lineage: Eukaryota; Metazoa; Chordata; Mammalia; Primates; Hominidae
Source: RNAcentral
GGGAGCUUGGAUGUGGAAGCUCUUUGGAAACCAAGAAACACUCUGCAAAUGAAAAGGCAUAAGAAUGUUUAUCACAGCAUGGCAUAUAUUGGAAGUUUAGUAAAUGAAGAUACAUCCAAUCUGACAUUCCAUUCACAACCACAAAGAGAUAAUGUAGAAACAUAUUUAGUAAUGUGAGAAAAUACUAAAUAUUAAGUGGAAAAAGGGUCUUUUAUUAUGUCUUCCUUGAAGUGCUCUGAUCAGAUCUGCAAUACUUGAGAUGUAAAUUCAACUCUACUUUUUUUUCUUUUAAAAAGAAGAGCAACAUAAUCCUUAGUGGUCCUAAAUAUUAUUCACCUUAUCUUAACAUUCAAUUUCUUUAUAUAGCAAAGGAAUGCAUUUUUAGCAAUGAAAUAAACAGCAAACAUUGACAUUGCUUAUUAACGGUAUUUAUGGUCGAUGUGCCCCACAUAUUCUGAAAGGUUAUGUUGUACAUUCUUUUAAGAAGACUUCAGGGUUUUCUACUGAAAGAAUUUGAAAAUCAAGACUUGGAAGGGUCCUGAGAGCAACAUUCUAUAGAGGAAAAGGCUAAACAGUACCCCAGAAUCUUCAGUAGCAGUGAUAGUAUGGCUUUGUUUUUCUUCACUGGACUAGGCUCCAUAACUAAGCAUCUUAUAUUUGGAAGUCCAAAUGCAUUUGUUUGUCUUCUUACAACAUAGAGAACACAUGCUUACAAAGUCGAAGGAGAGCAUUGACUAUUGUGACCUGUUUAACAUAUUUCUCCGCUUUGCUUCGGAUGAGAGAUUUCAAAUCUCAUCAUUAAUGUGG